CAAACUGGAGGUUAGGUACCAGUAAAUUUGACAACUUGGUCUGUUCUAUUACGUAGCAUGAUCCCAUUCAAUUGCCAAAUUUAAAAAGAGGGAUUGUGGGAUAGUGGAGCAGUGACUCUCUGAUGAAGAAGCACUUGCAUCUGUCCUUGGACAUGAGUACACUGUUGUGGGAUAAACAGCUCUAGAAAAAAAUAUAUGCAGAUUUUCAACAUUCUGCAUUAUUUUUGAUUCUCAAAAUAUAAGAACACGCAAAAAAACUGACAAUGCUCAGAAUAUCAGACCUCCAGCAUCCGCAGUUUUUGUUUUAUUUUUGUUUGAAGCUGAUGCUUGGAGCAUAAUGCUGCCUCAUUCCAACAGAUAGUUUACUCAAAUUACAAAGUUUUCAUCAAAAUACUGCAAGAACUGUACAUCAACUAAAUGCUUUUUGGAGAGCCAACAUGCAAUAAACAUAAGA
Mobula hypostoma (lesser devil ray) is the source of this 454-nucleotide long non-coding RNA. RefSeq lists it as uncharacterized. The transcript is spliced from 4 exons. The record is from RefSeq and is a predicted model, not a curated record. Lineage: Eukaryota; Metazoa; Chordata; Chondrichthyes; Myliobatiformes; Myliobatidae.